CCUACGGGCGGCAGCAGUGAGGAAUAUUGGUCAAUGGACGGAAGUCUGAACCAGCGAUGCCGCGUGCAGGAAGACGGCUCUAUGAGUUGUAAACUGCUUUUGUACAAGGGCAAAUCUGAAUACGUGUAUUCAGCUGAAAGUACUGUACGAAUAAGGAUCGGGCAACUCCGUGCCAGCAGCCGCGGUAAUACGGAGGAGCCAAGCGUUAUCCGGAUUUAUUGGGUUUAAAGGGUGCGUAGGCGGUUUGAUAAGUUAGAGGUGAAAUGUCCGAGCUUAACUCGGGAACUGCCUCUAAUACUGUUGAUCUAGAGAGUAGAUGCGGGAGGCGGAAUGUAUGGUGUAGCGGUGAAAUGCGUAGAGAUC
Molecule: ribosomal RNA, 363 nt
Filed under: uncultured bacterium
Lineage: Bacteria
Description: partial 16S ribosomal RNA
Rfam family: Bacterial small subunit ribosomal RNA
Source: RNAcentral